AUUCAACGGCCACGGUAUUAUAACCGCGCGAAGGUAGCGCAAUCACUUGUUUCCUAAUUAGAGACCGGUAUGAACGGUUAAUUGAGGGUUCUACUGUCUCCUAUGGCUAACCAAUGAAAUUGAUCUCCCAGUACAAAAGCUGGAAUAAACACAUAAGACGAGAAGACCCUGUGGAGCUUAAAACACACCACUACCAACGCAACCACAACCUAACACCCAAGGCCUACCUCAAUUGCUUUUAUAGUGCAUGUUUUCAGUUGGGGCGACUACGGAGCAAAAAAGAACCUCCAUGAAACAAGGCUAACCCCCACCUCAAGGCACACGUGCCAAACAGUAUUAAUUAGCGACCCAGUACUACUGAUAAUCGAACCAAGUUACCCCAGGGAUAACAGCGCCAUCCCCUUUAAGAGCCCAUAUCGCCAAGGGGGUUUACGACCUCGAUGUUGGAUCAGGGCACCCCGGUGGUGAAGCCGCUACCAAAGGUUCGUUUGUUCAACGAUUAAUGCCCUA
Molecule: ribosomal RNA, 510 nt
Filed under: Rhoptropus diporus
Lineage: Eukaryota; Metazoa; Chordata; Lepidosauria; Squamata; Gekkonidae
Description: partial 16S ribosomal RNA
Rfam family: Bacterial large subunit ribosomal RNA
Source: RNAcentral